This 497-nucleotide ribosomal RNA is filed under the name uncultured bacterium. Its description in RNAcentral is "partial 16S ribosomal RNA". It matches the Rfam family "Bacterial small subunit ribosomal RNA", at positions 28 to 507 of the family's 1533-position model. The record is from RNAcentral.
GAUGAACGCUGGCGGCGUGCCUAAUACAUGCAAGUCGAGCGAACGGACGAGAAGCUUGCUUCUCUGAUGUUAGCGGCUGACGGGUGAGUAACACGUGAAUAACCGACCUAUAAGACUGGGAUAACUUCGGGAAACCGGAGCUAAUACCGGGUAAUAUUUUGAACCGCAUGGUUCAAAAGUGAAAGACGGUCUUGCUGUCACUUAUAGAUGGAUCCGCGCUGCAUUAGCUAGUUGGUAAGGUAACGGCUUACCAAGGCAACGAUGCAUAGCCGACCUGAGAGGGUGAUAGGCCACACUGGAACUGAGACACGGUCCAGACUCCUACGGGAGGCAGCAGUAGGGAAUCUUCCGCAAUGGGCGAAAGCCUGACGGAGCAACGCCGCGUGAGUGAUGAAGGUCUUCGGAUCGUAAAACUCUGUUAUUAGGGAAGAACAUAUGUGUAAGUAACUGUGCACAUCUUGACGGUACCUAAUCAGAAAGCCACGGCUAACUACGUG